GCAUUUGUAGUCCAACGGUUAGGAUAAUUGCCUUCCAAGCAAUAGACCCGGUUUCGACUCCCGGCAGAAAGCU
This is a non-coding RNA of Hordeum vulgare subsp. vulgare (domesticated barley), 73 nucleotides long. The record is from Rfam. Lineage: Eukaryota; Viridiplantae; Streptophyta; Magnoliopsida; Poales; Poaceae.